AAAGUGUGAAAAGAUAAACCAUAAACUGAGAGAAGAAAUUUCCAAUAGAUAUAAUCAAGAAAGGAUUAGUAUUUAAAAUAUGUAAAGAACUCUUAAGAAUUAAUAAGAAAAAAAGAGGGAGGGACUAUAGAAAAAAGGAAAAACUAAAGAAUUUAACAGAAAAGGAAGCAUUAAUCAUGUAUCAGUCAGAGUCCAACCUGAAAAACAGAUCCCAUUUCAAGUAUUUAUAGCAGAAGAAACUGAAUGCAGGGCACUAGUUAUAACAGGUGUUGGAGAAGCUGAGAGGCAAACAGGGGACAGUGAGGACAAUGGAGGAAACCACUCUCAUUCCCUCAGCUGGGGGGACAAAGGUAGGAGAAAGUGUUCUCGGACCCCAGGAGGCAGCGUUAUCCAAUGAGAGCUGAAAUCCUAGAGGGGAAGUCUGGCAGGACCUCAACCCACAACCACAGCAGGCAAAACCCAGGGUAGAGAAGGGAGGGGGGAAUCCUGGCUUCACCAUCCUGCCUUCAAGUGUUCCCCUAGUGUCUCCUAUUAGCCAGACUCUGCCAGAAUCCAGCUGACAUGGGAGCCUGGGAAACACAGCCUGCAGGGGUAAGCCCCUCUGCAGUGCAGUACAGGGACACAUGAGGCAUGCAUCUGAGGACAAACAGGCAUAAACUGGCACAAAUGACCUAGGAUGAGGUGAAAAAUGUUCAACUUUAUUACAUACCAAGGACAUACAAUUAAAACUCACAGUAAGAUUCUAUUUUAGAAGCUCUCACUUCCAGUGCAGCAACUGUAACACUGAAAGUUUUAGAAAACAACUAUAAAGUCUCUGGAAAUUGUCCUAAGGGCAAACAGCAAAGUAAGAAAUAUUUACUCAAGAAAAUCUACUAGAUCUCAGCAAGAACACCAAACGUCUGUGACCUGCUCUUUCUCCCCUCCACCCGAGGUCGGUAUAACAGAGGAUCUACUCCAGGCAGCUGUGGCCCAGAAGAUAAGGCUCCCUAUCUCCCCAGCUCCCAGUCAAGGGCUAUAGGGGCAGGUUUCCAGCAUAUGUCAUCCUCCCAUCUUACCCACCUCACCCCAGUUCCAUGUUGCAGAGGCUAAAUUCCAGAACAAUGUAGCCAGGAAGUCAAGGGUCCAUUCCACCACUCAGCCAUUUCAUAGAGUGGAAGCUCUACUAUAGUUGUGGCAGACGGAGGAUACUGGGCUCAGUCAUCCUCACUCCAACUUGCUUGUAUCCCAGGAAGGGGGCUCGAACUUAACUGGAUCAUAUCGUGGAGAAAUUUGCACUCAAGAAUAUCACCAAAAAACAGUAGAUCCAUCAGCCAUCAGCCAGCACUUAGAGGAACCUAACAGCUGGGUGUAAUACCAACAGAAGCAGACAAUUUAACAGAUCAAGGAAAGGGAUAAUCAAAAUGUGCCCUGCUAAUCCCAGAGUGACUGCACUUGCCCAAGGCUGUGCCCCCGAUGAGCAACAUCAAAGCCUUCACACUGCUGGGGAAAUAGAAUUCACUAAAAUAAUCCACCCAAGUCAUUUAACAAAUAGACAAGCAAGCAGCUACCACAACAAACCCUGAGGGCUAGGGGGAAGAGAAGUCAGCAUUGAGAGUUGCUACAAUAUAUUAUCUAAACUGUCCAUUAAAAAAAAGAACAUGCAAAGAAAGACAUGCAAGAAGAAGACAUGCAAAGACAUUCAAAGAAGAUAUGCAGAGAAACAGGAAACCAUGAUCCAUGCCUAGGGAAAGAGCAGGUGAGAGAAAAUGUCUGUGAGCGGCCUGGAUGUCAGACUGAACAACACAUUAAAGCCAUGACAAUAAAUGUGCUCAAAGAACUAAAGAAAAACAUGCUUAACAGAAGUAAAAGAAGGUAUGUGACAAUGUCUCAUCAAAUAGAGAGUAUAAAUGAAGAGACAGAAAUCAUGAAAAAGAACCAAAGGGAAAUUCUGGAGUAGAAAAGAAAAGGAACUAAAAUGAAAAUUGCACUGAAUAGAGGCUCAGGAGUAGAUCUCAAUCAGCAGAAGAAAAACUUAUUGGAUUUAUAGGUAAAUAGAGAUGAUACAAUCCAAAGAACAGAGGUGUUUUUUGGGGGGCGGGUGUUGGGGGGCAGGCAAUUAGGUUUAUUUAUUUAAAUUUUUUUAAAUGGAGGUUCUGGGAAUUGAACCCAGGACCCUGUACAUGCUAACCACACACUCUGCAACUGAGCUAUACCCUCCACGCCAAGAUUUUUUUUUUAAAUGAAGAAAAAUGAACAGAUACAGGGAGAAUGCCAUGUGAACAUAAGGAUGGCCAUCUACGAGCUGAGUAGAAACUUCUGGAACAAAUCACUCCCUCAGGCCCUCAAAAGGAAACAACCUUGCCAACAGCUUGAUUUCCGGCUGCUGGGCUUCUAGAACGAGAGAACUCUAGAACUACCCCUGUGCCCCACCCCCAACCUCUCCAAAGUGUCUAUAAGAAGAAGCAAAGAGAAUGAUCAAGAAAGAUAAUAGAAUUUCUUUGGGGGAGUCGUUGGUGAGCUGGGCUUCCUUUCCCCAGUGCACACACCAGCCACAUACUCUGUUGGAAGCGAGUGUUGCUGCUUUGUUAAUCUUGGCUGAGUGAGGAGAGUUUCACGGAACCACCCAUAGAGCUUGACUUUUGUGUCUGGGGAACAAGGGGGCUGGUCCCUGACUUGGACCUGACAAUGCCUCAAGGUGAGAGGUGAUUGGGAGUUGUCUGUGGACAGAGGGUCUUUGCAGGUAGCGGCUUUGCCAGCAGAGGAAUCAGGUGAGAUGGACCAGAUCAUAACCAUUUGACAAGGGCUAGACUCGUACCUUAAUGGUUGCUGGCAUGGCAGGUGAAAACUGUACCAGUAAUGUGAGACUCUCCUUUUUCUGUAAUCUGCCUAUUACACCUCCCCACUCCCCACAGUCCUGCAAGAGGGGGCGGGGGAAAGCAAGGAAGAGAGAAGAAACAGAAGACACCCUCCUCCUGCCCUUCUCCACUGUAAACAUCUAAGCCUAAGUCAGGCUUGACUGGUAGAAAGAGGAAAGAAGAUUUCAGUCACGUGAGACAGUAUCAUGUUUAUUUGGAUCAGACUGGAGUUUUAAACACCCAGAUAAAGGUUAUUAACUUGUGAGUGGCCAACAGUGGCUGGAAGGCUCUGGGCUCUGCUUGAGACGUCAUCUGGGUCAGGGCGGAACAGCUGGACAGAGCAGGGUAAAGGGCAGUUGUCAGAGAAAACAUCACCUGCUCCUGUCCACACCCUUCCGCGUCCAGCUCAUCCAAAAGCAGUUCUGCUCUGAUGACACCUUCAUUCUCCAGCAGCGCUGGCCUAUGAAAAAGGACAGUCAUGAUUUGGAAGAGGGGCAAUGGGCAAAGGCUAGAAGAAAAGUCCUGGACUUCAGACCUCUAAUGAGAGAUACGUCACACGCCCCCACCCCCAUGCCUCCCGUUGUAUGUACCAGGGAGCUGGCAAGUGCUGCGUCUCAGAUCACACAGCUUACAAAGUGGUAGACGCUAAGGAGGAACCAAGGGUGUCUGGCUCCACAUCCCAAAUGGAAGAGGGAAUGAUCUGGAAGAGACUCACACUGUGGGGAAGGGAGGGCUCAGGACCCACCGAACACCAUGAACUAAUGACAGAACAGUUCCCAGGGUGAAGGACUUUCAUCAUCUGUGUAAAGCCAAUCAUAUGAAUGAGGGGAGAAAAUGGUGUGUAGCUUUUAUUCUUCCAGAGUUUGAAUUUUGCAGGGUGAGUGUUUGACAAUAUGUUUGACAAUAAAUUUGCAAGAGACUGAGCUUUUCGAGGCUUUGGUUUUUCUAGAAAACUGGGGCUGUUUUCUAUUCUUUUAUAAUACAUAUCCAAAAUAAAACCCUAAAAGAGCCAUGCCUUCCUAAAAAUACUAUGUUUCUGGUCCAUUGGUACCUGGAGAGGGAUUAGAAUUGAUGUAGACCAUUCUGGAGAAAAAAACUAGGAAGCAAGAGAAAAAAAAAAAAAAAAAGAAAGAAAGCUUUUUAACAUUAUUGCCCAUAAAAUGUGUAGAGCCUGAACAUGAAAAUAAAGAAAUUAUUUCUUCUAUGGCAAAUGUAAACAUUUGGAGCUUCUUUGCUGUUUUUACUCUCAACACUGCUGACACCAAAUGAGAGAUUUUUUCCCACCUGACACAAAAUAUGUGGUGUCUUUUCCAGCACUACUUCUUGAACCCUCUGACACUCACUACUCGGAAUUAGCAUUAGACAUCACAGGUUUAAUGGUUCAGUCCCACUAAAAUUUCCCCACUUCAGCUGUCAGUCACAAGUCCCAGGCCUCUCAAAAGCUUGACCAGCCUCAGCUGUAAGUUGGAGGUUCCCAUAGCCUGUUCCUCAGGUUUUAAUAAUUUUCUAGAAUGACUCACAGAAUUCGGGAAAGUACUUUACUCACCAUUACUUUGUUACAAAGGCUAGAACUCAGGAACAUCCAGAUGGGAGAGAGGCUCAGGGCCAGGGGGUGGGGGUGGGGAGCCUACAGAGCUUCCGUGUCCUCAGUGUGCUUGGCAUCCCAGCACCUCGACGUGUUCACCAAUUUGCAAGCUCUCUGUGUUUUUAACUUAAAAUAUGUAACAGAGUUCUGUUGAUUAUGAAGGGGCUGAUUUCUUCUUUAGUACACAGUGUCUUUUUUGUUGUUAUUCUUUAUGUUGUAAAUAACGUCAUACCUACCUGCAUUAUGCUGUAUUUCACAACUGAUUUAUCAUAAAGUAGUACAAGAGGAACUAAUUUUAUUCAUGCUACAUUUCACAAGAAAUUUAAGGCUUAGUAGAAAAUACACUUUUUGAUUUAACUUUAUUUCAUACAGCUAAUCUCUGCAGUAUUGGCUUAUUACAAACCCCCUAGGCAGUAAGCAGAGAGUCAGAUCAUCUGCAGCUAGACCCUUAACCCGUGAGAGAAACUGUGCAGGAAGGCUGUCUGAGGUCUCUGCUGAUGUUAAAGCAGUGGAUCGCUAGGGUUAUAUAGAACUCAAUUUGAAGGAGUUCUAGAGGAUGCUCUAAAUUUCCUGGGCAUAUAUGCAGGAUGAAGGCAGAAGGUUGAGAGGAAAACGUCUCAUUGUUCACACAGGCUGAUGAGAAUAUGAAUAUGAGAAUAUGAGAAGAAUGAAACUUCUUCCUAGAGGGUUGCGGUGGCUCUGGCAGCAUCAGCUCAAGGGGAAAAAUGUCUACAGGAAGUGUGAUUGGCUUGGGCAAAAUGGGCAAAUUACUGUGUAGAACUGCUCUGUAUUUCAACUCUACAAUCCAGAAGGAGAGACUAGCCCUGAAGUGAGAAUGUUUCCAUGAUGACUGCUAAGAGUUCAGAGUAGCAUGAGUAUCCUCUUUUAAUUGUAGGAAAAUCAGUAUCCAUAAAGAACCUGUCGCUGAUAAUGUGGAAGCUAAAGUGGGCUUAGGAGACUCAGGAAGGUAGAAAGACCAGAAAAUGGAGCCUGGCUGAUCCUCAAACCUAAACCUAACUUGUACGUCUUCCAGUGAAGACAGCCUGCUGAGAACCAGUGUGCAGAAGGUGGGAAUGACUCACCAAAACCAGAGGAAUGGAUACAAGCAAGGUGAAACACACUUUUCUGGGUGAGAGAAUCAGCUUAAAUGGAUCCUGAAAGAAUUGUUUCAGGAAUUAACGCUGCUGAGUACUGCUAGAGAAACACAUAAUCUUGCAGAACAGUACCAGGACAAAUCACAGUCCUCAACACUUUCUAGACUCUCAGGGCAAUGAGAUAAUCCUUGUCAGUCUACCAUCAUGUGUGCC
This is a long non-coding RNA of Camelus dromedarius (Arabian camel), 5726 nucleotides long. RefSeq lists it as uncharacterized. The transcript is spliced from 3 exons. Lineage: Eukaryota; Metazoa; Chordata; Mammalia; Artiodactyla; Camelidae. The record is from RefSeq and is a predicted model, not a curated record.